GAUGAACGCUGGCGGCGUGCCUAAUACAUGCAAGUCGAGCGAACAGACGAGGAGCUUGCUCCUCUGACGUUAGCGGCGGACGGGUGAGUAACACGUGGAUAACCUACCUAUCAGACUGGGAUAACUUCGGGAAACCGGAGCUAAUACCGGAUAAUAUAUUGAACCGCAUGGUUCAAUAGUGAAAGACGGUUUUGCUGUCACUUAUAGAUGGAUCCGCGCCGCAUUAGCUAGUUGGUAAGGUAACGGCUUACCAAGGCAACGAUGCGUAGCCGACCUGAGAGGGUGAUCGGCCACACUGGAACGGAGACACGGUCCAGACGCCUGCGGGAGGCAGCAGUAGGGAAUCUUCCGCAAUGGGCGAAAGCUUGACGGAGCAACGCCGCGUGAGUGAUGAAGGUCUUCGGAUCGUAAAACUCUGUUAUUAGGGAAGAACAAAUGUGUAAGUAACUAUGCACGUCUUGACGGUACCUAAUCAGAAAGCCACGGCUAACUACGUG
Molecule: ribosomal RNA, 497 nt
Filed under: uncultured bacterium
Lineage: Bacteria
Description: partial 16S ribosomal RNA
Rfam family: Bacterial small subunit ribosomal RNA
Source: RNAcentral